RNAcentral lists this unclassified non-coding RNA (342 nucleotides) under Hevea brasiliensis (rubber tree). The record is from RNAcentral. Lineage: Eukaryota; Viridiplantae; Streptophyta; Magnoliopsida; Malpighiales; Euphorbiaceae.
CUGGUUUCUAGAGAGUGAAUAAGCAAAUGGGUUUAAGAUCAAAAGAGUUCACCUUCUUUGCCUUGCUACUUGUGGUAGUUUUAUUGUUAAAAACUUCAUCUUUUCCUGAUGGGUCAGCUAGAUUUGGAAGCUUCAAAACUGGGUCUGCUUCUCAGUUUCAUCCUGUUGAAUCUCAUGGUGGCCAUGGAGGAGAUAAUAAAGAUCAUGAAGACGCUGAUGAUCCAGUAGGUUUGAGUGAUGAAAAGAGGAAAAUCUACACAGGUCCCAAUCCUUUACACAAUAGAUAGCUAGUCUUAGCUUUGUGUUAUAUAUUUUAUUCACAUGAAACUAUAUAUAUGGGAG